Molecule: non-coding RNA, 211 nt
Organism: Pelobates cultripes (western spadefoot toad)
Lineage: Eukaryota; Metazoa; Chordata; Amphibia; Anura; Pelobatidae
Source: the annotation of a GenBank genome assembly
UUUUACUCUUCUUAUUUAAAAGCUCUUGCCUUUUAAAACUUGCCACACUCCUUCGUGUGUUAGUUAAAAGUUCUUUAGGAUAAUGUCUAAUGUCUAUCAGUAAAUGUGUUAUUCAAAAUCUGCAGUUGUUCUUUAAAAUCUCUUUCAUCUGUACAAUUUUUAAAAUCCUCAUAUGCUGCCCCUUUGGAAUAUUUCUCAACCAGUUAUGCUG